RNAcentral lists this long non-coding RNA (274 nucleotides) under Chrysolophus pictus (golden pheasant). RNAcentral's name for it is "lncRNA (ENSCPIG00010011375.1)". The record is from RNAcentral. Lineage: Eukaryota; Metazoa; Chordata; Aves; Galliformes; Phasianidae.
UAAUGCACAGCAGCACAGGCAGAAACCAUAGAAGUGAUGUAGGUGCCAAAUGAAAAGAUUGAGGUUUGGGGAUCAUUUGGAUCCAACACCAUGAGAGAAAACUCUUAGAAUGUGGACUUGGUACAACUUGUUUUACAAAUGAUGGGAAUUGGUGCUGAGAAAGGUACUGUUACUGGAGAGGCAGCAAAGAGAAUCACCCUGAUAUAACCUCAUGAUGUCCAUGACCCUGGAAAGGCAGAUGAUAAGAAACCUCCUUCUUUCAGCCUGAAGGUGG